Non-coding RNA from Cyanistes caeruleus (blue tit), 1127 nucleotides. Lineage: Eukaryota; Metazoa; Chordata; Aves; Passeriformes; Paridae. The record is from RefSeq and is a predicted model, not a curated record.
GUUUAUAACCAUUCAGGAGGAAAAUAUGUUUAUAUGGAGUCACUAGUACACUGUAGUGAUAUACUUCACUUAUAAUUAAUUACAGAGGGAUUUUGCAUGUAUCUUAUUGGGUUCUGUGUUUCCUAAAAUAGAAUAAUCUAUGCUGAAAGUAAACUUAUCAGAUAUUUUAUUUUUGGUGCAUUCAUGUUUAGGAGUUGAUGCUCUGCUACUUGUGUUUUCACCAUGAGUAACUUGACUAAAUUCAACAUACUCUGUGGUAAUAAAGAAAAAAGCCAUUCAAAAGUGAAAAAUACCAACCUCUCCUUCUGUGCCACAAACUACUUUGGAUAAACCACACCCUUUCACUUAUAAUUGUCAGGCAUACUCAGAUUUUCAAUUAGAAUAGUUUUUUUGGUGGUAAACACUGCCUGCUGAGCUUUCCUUAACUGAAUAGAAUCACCACAUAGGUGGUUGGAAGAGAAGUUUUGAGGUCAUUGGCUCCACUCAAAGCAGGAUCAACUUAACUAGGUUAUUCAGUGCCUUGCCUGAUUGAGUUUUGGGUGGUGGUGAUGCCACAACUUCUCUGGGAAGCCUGUUCCACUGUUUGACCAUGAUGAAAGCAUUUUUCCGGCAAUCCAGCUGAAAUUUCCCAUGCUGCAAUUCAUGCUACCAAUGCUGUUAUUGUGCCCCAUAGAAGGGCUCAAUUCUUCCAGACCAUCCUAGAAGCAGUCAAAGACAGCAGGAAGAUCAUUGAGAUAUCACCUUUGCUUAUUCUUUGUAGGACUGAACGAACCCACCUCUUUCAGCCACUUUUUGUAGUGUGUGGCCUGGUGGCUGGCUGGUACACACCACCAGUGCCCAUGGAGAUGGCUGGUUGUUGAGAGCAUAACUAGGAAAAUUCAGGAUUAAGUGGAAGGAAGUGGUUUCAGAAGAAGGAAGUGAAUCAGACAUUAACUAUUCCUUUAGGAACUUGUGGAGACCUUAAUAACAAAGCCUAUACAACCACAGAGGUGCAGAAGGAGGAAUAAAGGCCUAUAAGCCUUAUUUCUCACAUCUGAAUGUCAUUCUGCAAAGCAAGACAAGCAUUGAAAGGCUGAACUUCUGUGAGCUCUGCUGGACAGAGGCAUCUUCUCGGUGUGUGGAGGAAG